This 684-nucleotide ribosomal RNA is filed under the name Triticum aestivum (bread wheat). RNAcentral describes it as "partial small subunit ribosomal RNA". Lineage: Eukaryota; Viridiplantae; Streptophyta; Magnoliopsida; Poales; Poaceae. The record is from RNAcentral.
AUGCUAUCCACGACGGAAUUUAUCCAGGUUGCAGUGACUCUCUCGGCACUUUGGUACUCAAGGAGACAAGCUUUGCAUGAAGAUAUCUUCCAAAGUCCACUUUCUACACACAAUUUCAUCCUUAAAUAUAUCCGGGAACUAGAAGAGUGCAAGCCUAAGAGGGUUCCAACAAUAACAGUGGCAAAUCAGCGACAUGUCCCUCCACAAUGGAUUCCACCGCCAACUGGUUUUGUGAAGAUAAGGGUGGAUAGUGCUGUUGCAAGAAACCACAAUGAAGGCUCUUUCAGUGCGGUCUGCAGGGAUUCGUUGGGACUUUAUUUGGGCUCAUCUGUCAUCAGAAUCCCCGGGGUUACAGACCCAGGGACGCUCGAAGCACUAGCACGACGUGAAGCGCUAGCACUAGCUUCAGACCUAGAUUUAUCACAUGCGAUUAUCACCUCAGAUUGCCAGGGUGUGAUCAUGGACAUCAACAAGCAAAUUGGGGGGAUGUAUGCAAGUAUUGUCAAGGAGAUUGUAGAGACUGCAAGAACCAUCAAUGACUGCACCUUCAUCUUCGAGGGUAGAGCUUCCGACCAUGAGGCACAUAGCCUCGCUAAGCACGCUUUCGGUCUGGAUUUUGGGCGCCAUGUGUGGCUUCUGAACCCACCAGAUCUUCGAUGUAUCCCUACGAAUAUUAUUGAAUAA